RNAcentral lists this long non-coding RNA (211 nucleotides) under Elaeis guineensis (African oil palm). RNAcentral's name for it is "long non-coding RNA (EGUI_LNC066501)". The record is from RNAcentral. Lineage: Eukaryota; Viridiplantae; Streptophyta; Magnoliopsida; Arecales; Arecaceae.
UUGAUCUGAAGGGCACAACAAGAUGGUCAUAUGAUGAAUGAUAAUUCUAAUACCCAAUAGACACCAGGCAUGUGGCACCUCCAAUGCCUACUUAGAAUAUUAGACACAUUAUCUUGCACCUUAAUGGGAGCCUAUGAAUUAGUUAUCUCUAUAACUGUAUCAUUUUAAGGACCUAAUAAUUUAGAAGAUUUGAUUUAAUGAUUUGAGAAUA